RNAcentral lists this ribosomal RNA (495 nucleotides) under uncultured bacterium. RNAcentral's name for it is "partial 16S ribosomal RNA". It matches the Rfam family "Bacterial small subunit ribosomal RNA", at positions 28 to 507 of the family's 1533-position model. The record is from RNAcentral.
GACGAACGCUGGCGGCGUGCCUAAUACAUGCAAGUAGAACGCUGAAGGAGGAGCUUGCUUCUCUGGAUGAGUUGCGAACGGGUGAGUAACGCGUAGGUAACCUGCCUGGUAGCGGGGGAUAACUAUUGGAAACGAUAGCUAAUACCGCAUAAGAGUAGAUGUUGCAUGACAUUUGCUUAAAAGGUGCAAUUGCAUCACUACCAGAUGGACCUGCGUUGUAUUAGCUAGUUGGUGGGGUAACGGCUCACCAAGGCGACGAUACAUAGCCGACCUGAGAGGGUGAUCGGCCACACUGGGACUGAGACACGGCCCAGACUCCUACGGGAGGCAGCAGUAGGGAAUCUUCGGCAAUGGACGGAAGUCUGACCGAGCAACGCCGCGUGAGUGAAGAAGGGUUUCGGAUCGUAAAGCUCGGUUGUAAGAGAAGAACGAGUGUGAGAGUGGAAAGUUCACACUGUGACGGUAUCUUACCAGAAAGGGACGGCUAACUACGUG